CCCUACGGGGGGCAGCAGUGAGGAAUAUUGGUCAAUGGGCGGGAGCCUGAACCAGCCAAGUCGCGUGAGGGAAGAAGGUACUGAGUAUUGUAAACCUCUUUUGCCAGGGGACAAAGGCGGCCACGGGUGGCCGUAAGAGGGUACCUGGAGAAAAAGCAUCGGCUAACUCCGUGCCAGCAGCCGCGGUAAUACGGAGGAUGCGAGCGUUAUCCGGAUUUAUUGGGUUUAAAGGGUGCGCAGGCGGAGGCACAAGUCAGCGGUAAAAUCGCGGGGCUCAACCCCGCUCCGCCGUUGAAACUGUGUCC
This 305-nucleotide ribosomal RNA is filed under the name uncultured bacterium. Its description in RNAcentral is "bacterial SSU rRNA". It matches the Rfam family "Bacterial small subunit ribosomal RNA", at positions 337 to 640 of the family's 1533-position model. The record is from RNAcentral.